GGAACUCUGGUCUAUGACGUCUGAUAUCUACUUUGAUAACUUCAUUAUAUGUUCAGAAAAAGAAGUAGCAGAUCGCUGGGCAGCAGAUGGCUGGGGCUUGAAGAAAUUAGUAACGGCUGCUAACGAGCCUGGUAUGUUUAGUCAACUGGUGACUGCUGCAGAAGACCACCCAUGGCUCUGGGUUCUUUACAUCUUGACUUUAGCUCUCCCUGUUGGUCUAGGGGUGUUGUUCUGCUGGCCAACAAAGAAAACAGAUGAAGAUAUUGACUUUAAAAAACCUGAUAUAUCUAAGCCAAUUACAAAAGGAGAACUAGACCAAGAGGGAGAGGAGUUAAUGAUGAUGAAAUACAAUUAGAAGAAGAAAAAGGAAAUGAAGAUACUGCUGAAGAUGAAGAUGAGGGUGGAGGAGAAGAAAAUGACAUUGCAGAUACAAGUCAAGAAGAAGGUGAUAAGUCAAAUAAAUCUAGUUCAGAAGAUGAGGUGAAAGAAGCUAACGAAGACACAGGUUAUGGAGAUAGUCCACUGAAAUCAGUGCGCAAAAGAAGAGUACGGAAGGACUGAGUUACUUCCAGCUAGUUUUUGUACAUCUAGAUGAUAGCAACUU
Long non-coding RNA from Neopsephotus bourkii (Bourke's parrot), 604 nucleotides. RefSeq lists it as uncharacterized. The transcript is spliced from 5 exons. The record is from RefSeq and is a predicted model, not a curated record. Lineage: Eukaryota; Metazoa; Chordata; Aves; Psittaciformes; Psittacidae.